AUUGAACGCUGGCGGCAGGCCUAACACAUGCAAGUCGAGCGGAUGAGCGGAGCUUGCUCCUUGAUUUAGCGGCGGACGGGUGAGUAAUGCCUAGGAAUCUGCCUGGUAGUGGGGGAUAACGUUCCGAAAGGAACGCUAAUACCGCAUACGUCCUACGGGAGAAAGCAGGGGACCUUCGGGCCUUGCGCUAUCAGAUGAGCCUAGGUCGGAUUAGCUAGUUGGUGAGGUAAUGGCUCACCAAGGCGACGAUCCGUAACUGGUCUGAGAGGAUGAUCAGUCACACUGGAACUGAGACACGGCCCAGACUCCUACGGGAGGCAGCAGUGGGGAAUAUUGGACAAUGGGCGAAAGCCUGAUCCAGCCAUGCCGCGUGUGUGAAGAAGGUCUUCGGAUUGUAAAGCACUUUAAGUUGGGAGGAAGGGCAGUAAGCUAAUACCUUGCUGUUUUGACGUUACCGACAGAAUAAGCACCGGCUAACUUCGUG
This 484-nucleotide ribosomal RNA is filed under the name uncultured bacterium. Its description in RNAcentral is "partial 16S ribosomal RNA". It matches the Rfam family "Bacterial small subunit ribosomal RNA", at positions 30 to 507 of the family's 1533-position model. The record is from RNAcentral.